AGAGUACGACGCGUGGUAUGCCAGUUACAACGUCGCUGUUUUACUCCUGCCCACGGAAGCUCCUCUAAACCGUUUCAUCAACGUGGUGGCGCUACCUUCUUUUUCGGAAGUCAAUGACACCUUCGCUGGACAGACUGCUUUGGUCAGCGGCUGGGGACUGAUUGGCAGCAACGAGGCUUGCUGCCCAGAGCUUCUUCAGUGGACUGAUGUGACGGUACUUAGCAACGAAAUAUGCAGUGAGUUCUACAGUGCAG
Molecule: long non-coding RNA, 254 nt
Organism: Schistocerca cancellata (South American locust)
Lineage: Eukaryota; Metazoa; Arthropoda; Insecta; Orthoptera; Acrididae
Exons: 3
Source: RefSeq, a predicted model, not a curated record